RNAcentral lists this ribosomal RNA (253 nucleotides) under uncultured bacterium. RNAcentral describes it as "partial 16S ribosomal RNA". It matches the Rfam family "Bacterial small subunit ribosomal RNA", at positions 524 to 776 of the family's 1533-position model. The record is from RNAcentral.
GACGGAGGAUGCAAGCGUUAUCCGGAAUUAUUGGGCGUAAAGAGUACGUAGGCGGCUCUGUAAGUCCGGGGUUAAAGCCCACAGCUUAACUGUGGAGGGGCCUUGGAAACUGCAAAGCUAGAGGGUGGUAGGGGUAGAGGGAAUUCCCAGUGUAGCGGUGAAAUGCGUAGAUAUUGGGAAGAACACCAGUGGCGAAAGCGCUCUACUGGACCACACCUGACGCUGAGGUACGAAAGCUAGGGUAGCGAAUGGG